This 67-nucleotide transfer RNA is filed under the name Stylochoplana maculata. RNAcentral describes it as "tRNA-Ser". Lineage: Eukaryota; Metazoa; Platyhelminthes; Polycladida; Leptoplanidae. The record is from RNAcentral.
GAGGUGUUUAUUAAAAUAAAAAAAGCUGCUAACUUUUUUUAGAGUGGGUAAGAUCAUUCACAUCUCU